AGAGUUUGAUCCUGGCUCAGGACGAACGCUGGCGGCGUGCCUAACACAUGCAAGUCGAGCGGGGAACGGAUGGUAGCUUGCUACUGUUUGUUUCUAGCGGCGGACGGGUGAGUAACGCGUGAGCAACCUGCCUUUAUCAGGGGGAUAACGCAUCGAAAGAUGUGCUAAUACCGCGUAAGACCACAGCUUCACAUGGAGCGGGGGUCAAAGGAGCAAUCCGGAUAAAGAUGGGCUCGCGUCCGAUUAGCUAGUUGGUGAGAUAACAGCCCACCAAGGCGACGAUCGGUAGCCGACCUGAGAGGGUGAUCGGCCACAUUGGAACUGAGAGACGGUCCAGACUCCUACGGGAGGCAGCAGUGGGGAAUAUUGGGCAAUGGGCGAAAGCCUGACCCAGCAACGCCGCGUGAGGGAAGAAGGGUUUCGGCUCGUAAACCUCUGUCCUAUGGGACGAAGGAAGUGACGGUACCAUAGGAGGAAGCCCCGGCUAACUACGUGCCAGCAGCCGCGGUAAUACGUAGGGGGCGAGCGUUGUCCGGAAUGAUUGGGCGUAAAGGGCGCGUAGGCGGCCUGCUAAGUCUGGAGUGAAAGUCCUGCUUUCAAGGUGGGAAUUGCUUUGGAUACUGGUGGGCUGGAGUGCAGGAGAGGAAAGCGGAAUUACCGGUGUAGCGGUGAAAUGCGUAGAGAUCGGUAGGAACACCAGUGGCGAAGGCGGCUUUCUGGACUGAAACUGACGCUGAGGCGCGAAAGCGUGGGGAGCAAACAGGAUUAGAUACCCUGGUAGUCCACGCGGUAAACGAUGAAUGCUAGGUGUAGGAGGUAUCGACCCCUUCUGUGCCGCAGUAAACACAAUAAGCAUUCCGCCUGGGGAGUACGGCCGCAAGGUUGAAACUCAAAGGAAUUGACGGGGGCCCGCACAAGCAGCGGAGCAUGUGGUUUAAUUCGAAGCAACGCGAAGAACCUUACCAGGUCUUGACAUCCGUGUAAAGCCGCAGAGAUGCGGUGUGAGCUUGCUCAAUACGAGACAGGUGGUGCAUGGUUGUCGUCAGCUCGUGUCGUGAGAUGUUGGGUUAAGUCCCGCAACGAGCGCAACCCUU
Molecule: ribosomal RNA, 1094 nt
Filed under: human gut metagenome
Description: bacterial SSU rRNA
Rfam family: Bacterial small subunit ribosomal RNA
Source: RNAcentral